AAUGGAAUGUGGGAUCAUUGUUCCUACAAGGACUACAAAGUUCAAAUGAAAGGAACACAGUGUUGAGACUGCUUGGAGCCUUAUGAAAAUGAGACUGCUAUUUUCUAUAGAUAUUCUAUCAGAGGUCCAUUGAAAGUGAAAGGAAUGGAGACACUCUAUAGGAACAGCAACUUUACAAGUAAUACAAUGGCACUAAUUUUGUAUCUAUCAAAAAUUCUCUGAAUAUAAAUGGAUUAAAUGCUCCAAUAAAAAGACAAAGGGUAUCAGAAAGGAUUAAAAAAAAAAAAGACCCAUCAAUAUGCUGCUUACAAGAGACUCAUUUUAAACCCAAA
This is a long non-coding RNA of Canis lupus familiaris (dog), 332 nucleotides long. RefSeq lists it as uncharacterized. The record is from RefSeq and is a predicted model, not a curated record. Lineage: Eukaryota; Metazoa; Chordata; Mammalia; Carnivora; Canidae. The transcript has 2 exons.